Molecule: transfer RNA, 81 nt
Filed under: Variovorax sp.
Lineage: Bacteria; Pseudomonadati; Pseudomonadota; Betaproteobacteria; Burkholderiales; Comamonadaceae
Description: tRNA-Pro
Source: RNAcentral
UGCGCUCGAGCUGCAGGUCCGCGGGCAGGCCUUCGGGCGGCCAGCCGAUGUCGGGCGGCAGUUCGAAGCCGACCAGCACGC